Molecule: ribosomal RNA, 488 nt
Filed under: uncultured bacterium
Lineage: Bacteria
Description: partial 16S ribosomal RNA
Rfam family: Bacterial small subunit ribosomal RNA
Source: RNAcentral
GAUGAACGCUAGCGGCAGGCUUAACACAUGCAAGUCGAGGGGCAGCAUAAUGGAUAGCAAUAUCUAUGGUGGCGACCGGCGCACGGGUGCGUAACGCGUAUGCAACCUACCUUUAACAGGGGGAUAACACUGAGAAAUUGGUACUAAUACCCCAUAAUAUCAUAGAAGGCAUCUUUUAUGGUUGAAAAUUCCGAUGGUUAGAGAUGGGCAUGCGUUGUAUUAGCUAGUUGGUGGGGUAACGGCUCACCAAGGCGACGAUACAUAGGGGGACUGAGAGGUUAACCCCCCACACUGGUACUGAGACACGGACCAGACUCCUACGGGAGGCAGCAGUGAGGAAUAUUGGUCAAUGGACGCAAGUCUGAACCAGCCAUGCCGCGUGCAGGAUGACGGCUCUAUGAGUUGUAAACUGCUUUUGUACGAGGGUAAACGCAGAUACGUGUAUCUGUCUGAAAGUAUCGUACGAAUAAGGAUCGGCUAACUCUGUG